This 490-nucleotide ribosomal RNA is filed under the name uncultured bacterium. RNAcentral describes it as "partial 16S ribosomal RNA". It matches the Rfam family "Bacterial small subunit ribosomal RNA", at positions 30 to 507 of the family's 1533-position model. The record is from RNAcentral.
AUUGAACGCUGGCGGCAGGCCUAACACAUGCAAGUCGAACGGUAACAGGAAGAAGCUUGCUUCUUUGCUGACGAGUGGCGGACGGGUGAGUAAUGUCUGGGAAACUGCCUGAUGGAGGGGGAUAACUACUGGAAACGGUAGCUAAUACCGCAUAACGUCGCAAGACCAAAGAGGGGGACCUUCGGGCCUCUUGCCAUCGGAUGUGCCCAGAUGGGAUUAGCUAGUAGGUGGGGUAACGGCUCACCUAGGCGACGAUCCCUAGCUGGUCUGAGAGGAUGACAAGCCACACUGGAACUGAGACACGGUCCAGACUCCUACGGGAGGCAGCAGUGGGGAAUAUUGCACAAUGGGCGCAAGCCUGAUGCAGCCAUGCCGCGUGUAUGAAGACGGCCUUCGGGUUGUAAAGUACUUUCAGCGGGGAGGAAGGGAGUAAAGUUAAUACCUUUGCUCAUUGACGUUACCCGCAGAAGAAGCACCGGCUAACUCCGUG